This 361-nucleotide transfer-messenger RNA is filed under the name Litorivicinus sp. It matches the Rfam family "transfer-messenger RNA". Rfam says of the family: Bacterial tmRNA, also known as 10Sa RNA or SsrA, is named for its dual tRNA and mRNA-like properties. Its role is to liberate the mRNA from a stalled ribosome. Lineage: Bacteria; Pseudomonadati; Pseudomonadota; Gammaproteobacteria; Oceanospirillales; Litorivicinaceae. The record is from RNAcentral.
GGGGACGAUAUGGAUUCGACGCCGGGAACAAAACCAAAUGUGCAUGCCGAGUAGUUCUACAGUACUCGUUAACCCAACUGUGGGCUCGUUAGCUAAAACUGCCAACGACGAAAACUACGCUCUAGCAGCAUAACGCUAGGCCCUGGAUGGGGAUCGUCUCUGGUCCUUAUCAACAGGGUUCAAAAACAGAGACUCGCUCAGAGACUGUGUCAGGGGUCAAAGAGCUAAAUUUUCACUUGACUCGGGUUUGUGAUCCCUGUGCGUUGGGAGAUCGAACCUCAAAUUCAAAAACGCGACUAAGCAUGUAGAGCGUUUGGCAGCGUACUGACGGACGCGGGUUCAAAUCCCGCCGUCUCCACCA